RNAcentral lists this small RNA (632 nucleotides) under Pongo abelii (Sumatran orangutan). Its description in RNAcentral is "processed transcript". Lineage: Eukaryota; Metazoa; Chordata; Mammalia; Primates; Hominidae. The record is from RNAcentral.
GCGGCGUGAGAAGCUAUGAGCAGCAAAGUCUCUCGCGACACCCUGUACGAGGCGGUGCGGGAAGUCCUGCAUGGGAACCAGCGCAAGCGCCGCAAGUGAGUGCCGACCCUGGGGCACGGCGCGGGUGGCGAGGGCCGGCGGGUGCUUAAUCCCCCUCCUCUCUCGAAGGUUCCUGGAGACGGUGGAGUUGCAGAUCAGCUUGAAGAACUAUGACCCCCAGAAGGACAAGCGCUUCUCGGGCACCGUCAGGCUUAAGUCCACUCCCCGCCCUAAGUUCUCUGUGUGUGUCCUGGGGGACCAGCAGCACUGUGACGAGGCUAAGGCCGUGGAUAUCCCCCACAUGGACAUCGAGGCGCUGAAAAAACUCAACAAGAAUAAAAAACUGGUCAAGAAGCUGGCCAAGAAGUAUGAUGCGUUUUUGGCCUCAGAGUCUCUGAUCAAGCAGAUUCCACGAAUCCUCGGCCCAGGUCUAAAUAAGGCAGGAAAGUUCCCUUCCCUGCUCACACACAACGAAAACAUGGUGGCCAAAGUGGAUGAGGUGAAGUCCACAAUCAAGUUCCAAAUGAAGAAGGUGUUAUGUCUGGCUGUAGCUGUUGGUCACGUGAAGAUGACAGACGAUGAGCUUGUGUAUA